GGUUAAGUUAGAAAGGGCGCACGGUGGAUGCCUUGGCACUAGGAGCCGAAGAAGGACGGGACUAACACCGAUAUGCUUUGGGGAGCUGUACGUAAGCGUUGAUCCAGAGAUUUCCGAAUGGGGGAACCCACUAUCUUUAGUCGGAUAGUAUCCUUACGUGAAUACAUAGCGUGAGGAAGGCAGACCCAGGGAACUGAAACAUCUAAGUACCUGGAGGAAGAGAAAGAAAAAUCGAUUUCCUGAGUAGCGGCGAGCGAAACGGAAAGAGCCCAAACCAAGAAGCUUGCUUCUUGGGGUUGUAGGACACUCUAUACGGAGUUACAAAAGAAAGUUAUAAAUGAAGCGGUCUGGAAAGGCCCGCCAAAGACGGUAACAGCCCGGUAGUUGAAAUGGCUUUCCCUCCAGAGUGGAUCCUGAGUACGGCGGAACACGUGAAAUUCCGUCGGAAUCCGGGAGGACCAUCUCCCAAGGCUAAAUACUCCCUAGUGACCGAUAGUGAACCAGUACCGUGAGGGAAAGGUGAAAAGCACCCCGGAAGGGGAGUGAAACAGUUCCUGAAACCGUGUGCCUACAAGUAGUUAGAGCCCGUUAAUGGGUGAUAGCGUGCCUUUUGUAGAAUGAACCGGCGAGUUACGAUUUGUUGCAAGGUUAAGCGGAAAAAGCGGAGCCGUAGCGAAAGCGAGUCUGAAUAGGGCGCAUAAGUAACAGGUCGUAGACCCGAAACCAGGUGAUCUACCCAUGUCCAGGAUGAAGGUAAGGUAAUACUUACUGGAGGUCCGAACCCACGCACGUUGAAAAGUGCGGGGAUGAGGUGUGGGUAGCGGAGAAAUUCCAAUCGAACUUGGAGAUAGCUGGUUCUCUCCGAAAUAGCUUUAGGGCUAGCCUCGAGGUAAAGAGUCAUGGAGGUAGAGCACUGUUUGGACUAGGGGCCCUUCUCGGGUUACCGAAUUCAGAUAAACUCCGAAUGCCAUGUACUUAUACUCGGGAGUCAGACUGCGAGUGAUAAGAUCCGUAGUCGAAAGGGAAACAGCCCAGACCACCAGUUAAGGUCCCCAAAUAUAUGUUAAGUGGAAAAGGAUGUGGGGUUGCUUAGACAACCAGGAUGUUGGCUUAGAAGCAGCCACCAUUGAAAGAGUGCGUAAUAGCUCACUGGUCGAGUGACCCCGCGCCGAAAAUGUACCGGGGCUAAACAUAUUACCGAAACUGUGGAUGAACCUCUUUAGAGGUUCGUGGUAGGAGAGCGUUCUAAGGGCGGUGAAGUCAGACCGGAAGGACUGGUGGAGCGCUUAGAAGUGAGAAUGCCGGUAUGAGUAGCGAAAGAAGGGUGAGAAUCCCUUCCACC
This 1342-nucleotide ribosomal RNA is filed under the name Listeria monocytogenes. RNAcentral's name for it is "partial 23S ribosomal RNA". It matches the Rfam family "Bacterial large subunit ribosomal RNA", at positions 1 to 1338 of the family's 2925-position model. The record is from RNAcentral. Lineage: Bacteria; Bacillati; Bacillota; Bacilli; Caryophanales; Listeriaceae.